Molecule: ribosomal RNA, 497 nt
Filed under: uncultured bacterium
Lineage: Bacteria
Description: partial 16S ribosomal RNA
Rfam family: Bacterial small subunit ribosomal RNA
Source: RNAcentral
GACGAACGCUGGCGGCGUGCCUAAUACAUGCAAGUUGAGCGCUGAAGGUUGGUACUUGUACCGACUGGAUGAGCAGCGAACGGGUGAGUAACGCGUGGGGAAUCUGCCUUUGAGCGGGGGACAACAUUUGGAAACGAAUGCUAAUACCGCAUAAAAACUUUAAACACAAGUUUUAAGUUUGAAAGAUGCAAUUGCAUCACUCAAAGAUGAUCCCGCGUUGUAUUAGCUAGUUGGUGAGGUAAAGGCUCACCAAGGCGAUGAUACAUAGCCGACCUGGGAGGGGGAACGGCCAAAUUGGGAAUGAGACACGGCCCAAACUCCUACGGGAGGCAGCAGUAGGGAAUCUUCGGCAAUGGACGAAAGUCUGACCGAGCAACGCCGCGGGAGGGAAGAAGGUUGUCGGAUCGGAAAACUCUGUUGGUAGAGAAGAACGUUGGUGAGAGUGGAAAGCUCAUCAAGUGACGGUAACUACCCAGAAAGGGACGGCUAACUACGUG